Pteropus alecto (black flying fox) is the source of this 106-nucleotide non-coding RNA. NCBI's taxonomy places the organism in Eukaryota, Metazoa, Chordata, Mammalia, Chiroptera, Pteropodidae. The record is from Rfam.
GUCUAUGGCCAUGCCACUCUGAACAUGCCCAAUCUCGUCUGAUCUUGGAAGCUAAGCAAGGUUGAGCCUGGUUAGUACUUGGAUGGGAGAUCAGGUGCUGUAGGCA